This 567-nucleotide ribosomal RNA is filed under the name Klebsiella pneumoniae. RNAcentral's name for it is "bacterial SSU rRNA". It matches the Rfam family "Bacterial small subunit ribosomal RNA", at positions 976 to 1533 of the family's 1533-position model. The record is from RNAcentral. Lineage: Bacteria; Pseudomonadati; Pseudomonadota; Gammaproteobacteria; Enterobacterales; Enterobacteriaceae.
AAAUCUUGACAUCCUCUGACCCCUCUAGAGAUAGAGGUUUCCCCCUUCGGGGGGACAGAGUGACAGGUGGUGCAUGGUUGUCGUCAGCUCGUGUCGUGAGAUGUUGGGUUAAGUCCCGCAACGAGCGCAACCCUUAAGCUUAGUUGCCAUCAUUAAGUUGGGCACUCUAAGUUGACUGCCGGUGACAAACCGGAGGAAGGUGGGGAUGACGUCAAAUCAUCAUGCCCCUUAUGAUUUGGGCUACACACGUGCUACAAUGGACAAUACAAAGGGCAGCGAAACCGCGAGGUCAAGCAAAUCCCAUAAAGUUGUUCUCAGUUUGGAUUGUAGUCUGCAACUCGACUAUAUGAAGCUGGAAUCGCUAGUAAUCGUAGAUCAGCAUGCUACGGUGAAUACGUUCCCGGGUCUUGUACACACCGCCCGUCACACCACGAGAGUUUGUAACACCCGAAGCCGGUGGAGUAACCAUUUGGAGCUAGCCGUCGAAGGUGGGACAAAUGAUUGGGGUGAAGUCGUAACAAGGUAGCCGUAUCGGAAGGUGCGGCUGGAUCACCUCCUUUCUAAGGA